AGAGUUUGAUCCUGGCUCAGGACGAACGCUGGCGGCGUGCUUAACACAUGCAAGUUGAACGGUCCGGCAUGGAAGCUUGCUGAAGUGUCGGGUAGUAGCGGACGGGUGAGUAAUGCAUGAGAAGCUGCCAUUGGGAGGGGGACAACAGUUGGAAACGGCUGCUAAUACCCCAUAUGCCGGAAGGUGAAACGGAGUGAUCCGCCCGAUGAGGUGCUCAUGUCCUAUCAGCUAGUUGGUGAGGUAACGGCUCACCAAGGCGACGACGGGUAGCCGGCCUGAGAGGGUGACCGGCCACACUGGAACUGAGAUACGGUCCAGACUCCUACGGGAGGCAGCAGUGGGGAAUAUUGGGCAAUGGGGGCAACCCUGACCCAGCGACGCCGCGUGAGGGAAGACGGCCUUCGGGUUGUAAACCUCUUUUGUACGGGAAGAAGGACGUGACGGUACCGUGCGAAUAAGUCCCGGCUAACUACGUGCCAGCAGCCGCGGUAAUACGUAGGGGACGAGCGUUGUCCGGAAUUACUGGGCGUAAAGGGCGCGCAGGCUGUAGAUCAAGUCAGCUGUGAAAUGUCUGGGCUUAACCCGGGCAUGCGGUUGAAACUGAUGUACUGGAGUGCUGUAGAGGCAAGUGGAAUUCCCAGUGUAGCGGCGAAAUGCGUAGAUAUUGGGAAGAACACCGGUGGCGAAGGCGACUUGCUAGGCAGCAACUGACGCUGAGGCGCGAAAGCCAGGGGAGCAAACAGGAUUAGAUACCCCGGUAGUCCUGGCCGUAAACGAUGAAUGCUAGGUGUGUGUGUAGAGAUACAUGCGUGCCGGAGUUAACGCGAUAAGCAUUCCGCCUGGGGAGUACGGUCGCAAGAUUGAAACUCAAAGGAAUUGACGG
This 883-nucleotide ribosomal RNA is filed under the name uncultured bacterium. RNAcentral describes it as "bacterial SSU rRNA". It matches the Rfam family "Bacterial small subunit ribosomal RNA", at positions 8 to 916 of the family's 1533-position model. The record is from RNAcentral.